Molecule: non-coding RNA, 209 nt
Organism: Cinara cedri
Lineage: Eukaryota; Metazoa; Arthropoda; Insecta; Hemiptera; Aphididae
Source: the annotation of a GenBank genome assembly
AGUGAUGUAUUCUCGCAGGUGGGCAACUGCGGAGCGCCCGAACUGGACAUUUUCCGCUUUUAGCCCGGUGAAAUUGUUCAAUCGUUUUUAUUUCAUUUACACGAAGUGAAGUCUCUUAUUGUAAAAAAAUAUCCAAUGUGAAACUGUUGCAUGACUUUUAUAUAGUCAAAAACGUAAGCAUCGGGAUCGACAAUAAUUUAAGAACGUAU